This 453-nucleotide ribosomal RNA is filed under the name uncultured Desulfobulbus sp. RNAcentral's name for it is "bacterial SSU rRNA". It matches the Rfam family "Bacterial small subunit ribosomal RNA", at positions 929 to 1382 of the family's 1533-position model. Lineage: Bacteria; Pseudomonadati; Thermodesulfobacteriota; Desulfobulbia; Desulfobulbales; Desulfobulbaceae. The record is from RNAcentral.
GCGGUGGAGCAUGUGUUAAUUCGACGCAACGCGAAGAACCUUACCGAGGCUUGACAUCCCCUGACCGCGUAUGAAAGUACGUUUUCACCCUCGGGUGACAGGGAGACAGGUGCUGCAUGGCUGUCGUCAGCUCGUGUCGUGAGAUGUUGGGUUAAGUCCCGCAACGAGCGCAACCCUUGCCUUUAGUUGCCAGCAGUUCGGCUGGGCACUCUAAAGGGACUGCCGGUGUUAAACCGGAGGAAGGUGGGGAUGACGUCAAGUCCUCAUGGCCUUUAUGACCAGGGCUACACACGUACUACAAUGGCCGAUACAAAGGGCAGCGACAUUGCGAAAUGAAGCCAAUCCCAUAAAUUCGGUCUCAGUCCGGAUUGGAGUCUGCAACUCGACUCCAUGAAGUUGGAAUCGCUAGUAAUCGUGGAUCAGCAUGCCACGGUGAAUACGUUCCCGGGCCUU